AAUAAGACAAAAAUGAUAAAAGCUAUCAUUUUUUUCCAUUCUUUCUUCUUCAACCGUGGGAAAGAACUGAAAAUGGCAGCCAUGGAUGAGCUCCAUUCAGCCAAGCUUCUAUGGCUUAUAUAGAUGAUGAAAAUUGAGACUUGGACCUAGAACGGAAAGAAAUCGAUUUAUGGACGAGUAUGUCCUUUUCACAUUUGUGGUAUCGAGAGUUCCAGGUUAGCUCGGGUUGGAAGCCGUCGGAGAUAUUAUCACCCUAUCGAGUUAACGUUAUCGAGUAAGUAAACUCAAGUGAUUCGAGUCUAUGGCAUGUAUAAGGUUUUAAUGUGAGUAUGUAAUAUUAUGAUUUAGCCAAAGGCAUUGGCUUGUUAUUAAGGUAGUAUUAGUCAUGUAAAUUAGCCUAUGUCGGCUAAUGACGUUAUGGGCCCAUAUGAUUAUUCUUAUGCAUUUAUGUUAUUAUUUCUUGUGAUGUGGCUUACAACAUGUAUGCCUAGAGAUUGAAUUGAGAUUCAUUGAUGAGCUAGUAACUAAUGCAGGAUUAAGUGAUUGGUAAAUAGUUAAUAAUGCUUCAUGAAUGGUUUGUGAUGUAAUGAUAGUUAUGUCUAGUAUGUGGUAAA
This is a long non-coding RNA of Gossypium arboreum, 614 nucleotides long. RefSeq lists it as uncharacterized. NCBI's taxonomy places the organism in Eukaryota, Viridiplantae, Streptophyta, Magnoliopsida, Malvales, Malvaceae. The transcript has 2 exons. The record is from RefSeq and is a predicted model, not a curated record.